This 45-nucleotide non-coding RNA is filed under the name Schistosoma margrebowiei. Lineage: Eukaryota; Metazoa; Platyhelminthes; Trematoda; Strigeidida; Schistosomatidae. The record is from RNAcentral.
AUCCAGCUGACGAGUUCCAAACAGGACGAAACGCGCGUCCUGGGU